Molecule: ribosomal RNA, 253 nt
Filed under: uncultured bacterium
Lineage: Bacteria
Description: partial 16S ribosomal RNA
Rfam family: Bacterial small subunit ribosomal RNA
Source: RNAcentral
UACAGAGGUCCCAAGCGUUGUUCGGAUUCACUGGGCGUAAAGGGUGCGUAGGUGGUCGGGUAAGUCUGAUGUGAAAUCUCCGAGCUUAACUCGGAAACUGCAUCGGAUACUAUUCGGCUGGAGGGUUGGAGGGGGGACUGGAAUACUUGGUGUAGCAGUGAAAUGCGUAGAUAUCAAGUGGAACACCAGUGGCGAAGGCGAGUCUCUGGACAAUUCCUGACGCUGAGGCACGAAAGCCAGGGGAGCAAACGGG